This is a long non-coding RNA of Oncorhynchus kisutch (coho salmon), 1239 nucleotides long. RefSeq lists it as uncharacterized. The record is from RefSeq and is a predicted model, not a curated record. NCBI's taxonomy places the organism in Eukaryota, Metazoa, Chordata, Actinopteri, Salmoniformes, Salmonidae. The transcript is spliced from 2 exons.
AGUACUUUGUGUUGCUAUGAGACGGUGAUUUCUUUUUUUUUUUUUAGAUAGCAGCUUCUUUCCUUGAAUAAUUUGGAGUUUUGCCUUGCUAAUGUUUUUAUAAUGCCAAAACAAUUAUUAGGCGCCGAUAUAGGCACAAUUUGGUUCAGAGCAAGCAACUGGAUAUCAGCUUUAUGGCUUUUUAUUUUACUGUAACGUUAGCUAGGAAGGUUAAUUCAUUCAUUGUGACAAGCAGCAUGGCGUCCAGAGGCGGUUCAAGAGAUAUUGAGGAGGACGCUUCUCAGUUACUUUUCCCCAAAGAGUUCGAGAACGCGGAGACACUUCUAAACUGCUUCUGGAGCAUCGCAAGCAGCAGAACGAGAGUGCAGAGGACGAACAAGAGCUAUCGGAGGUUUUCAUGAAAAGUCUGAAUUAUACUGCACGUUUCAGCCGGUUCAAAAACAGAGAAACUAUAGCCAGUGUCCGCAGGUCAGUGUAGCGGUUGUCACUAUCACAACCAAAAACCAAUGUCAAUACCGUAUAAAAUACAAUAUGGUGGUAACUUUUCGUGAUGACUGAAAUUAUUGCCCUGUAUCGUAUAGCUUGCUCUUACGGAAGAAGCUGCAUAAAUUUGAGCUGGCCAGUUUGGCCAACAUGAGUCCAGAAGUAGCUAGGUAGCUCCUCAUCCCUAGGUAGGACCUGUUGUUACUGCCUCCUCACAUAUCACCAUACUCAGUCCUCUAACCCAGACUCUAAACCUUGUAUCUAUUUGGGUAGCAGUCAGCUCUUGACCAUGAAAUCAGGCGUAAAUGUUUAUUAUAUAUACAUUUAGAGACAGUAGUUGUCUGUUUGUUCUGUCAAAAGUCUGGAGGGGCAGUUUGAGGAUGAGGAGCUGCAGCAGAUCCUUGAUGACAUCCAGACCAAGAGAAGUUUCCAAUACUGAAGACAGUUCCUCCUCUGGCCUGUUCUAACCUAAACCCAUCGUUAUGUCAGAAAAUACUGGGCAUCCUAAAUGACACCCUAUAUAGUGAAUAGGGUGCAGUUUGGGAUGCAACCGGACUGACCAUUCUCCCCAGGAUGGGUACCUCCAAAUUGGACUUGGGGGGUGUAUCGACAGCCGAGGGGUGCGUCAGGCACCGCAGAGCUGUACAUUCAUUGCAGAGAUGAUACAGCGCCAUUUAGAAGACCAUACCAAGCUAGGAUGAAUACAUACAUUACUAAAUGUAAAUAAUUUAUAAAUAAACAUCAGAUUUUUUAAUA